UGGAUCCAGACUUUGAUCCUGGCUCAGGAUGAACGCUAGCUACAGGCUUAACACAUGCAAGUCGAGGGGAAACGAUAGAGAAAGCUUGCUUUUUCUAGGCGUCGACCGGCGCACGGGUGAGUAACGCGUAUCCAACCUGCCCACCACUUGGGAAUAACCUUGCGAAAGUAAGACUAAUACCCAAUGAUAUCUCUAGAAGACAUCUGAAGGAGAUUAAAGAUUUAUCGGUGAUGGAUGGGGAUGCGUCUGAUUAGCUUGUUGGCGGGGUAACGGCCCACCAAGGCGACGAUCAGUAGGGGUUCUGAGAGGAAGGUCCCCCACAUUGGAACUGAGACACGGUCCAAACUCCUACGGGAGGCAGCAGUGAGGAAUAUUGGUCAAUGGGCGAGAGCCUGAACCAGCCAAGUAGCGUGCAGGAUGACGGCCCUAUGGGUUGUAAACUGCUUUUAUAAGGGAAUAAAGUGAGCCUCGUGAGGCUUUUUGCAUGUACCUUAUGAAUAAGGACCGGCUAAUUCCGUGCCAGCAGCCGCGGUAAUACGGAAGGUCCGGGCGUUAUCCGGAUUUAUUGGGUUUAAAGGGAGCGUAGGCCGGAGAUUAAGCGUGUUGUGAAAUGUAGAUGCUCAACAUCUGCACUGCAGCGCGAACUGGUUUCCUUGAGUACGCACAAAGUGGGCGGAAUUCGUGGUGUAGCGGUGAAAUGCUUAGAUAUCACGAAGAACUCCGAUUGCGAAGGCAGCUCACUGGAGCGCAACUGACGCUGAAGCUCGAAAGUGCGGGUAUCGAACAGGAUUAGAUACCCUGGUAGUCCGCACGGUAAACGAUGGAUGCCCGCUGUUGGUCUGAAUAGGUCAGCGGCCAAGCGAAAGCAUUAAGCAUCCCACCUGGGGAGUACGCCGGCAACGGUGCAACUCAAAUGAAUUGACGGA
Molecule: ribosomal RNA, 926 nt
Filed under: uncultured bacterium
Lineage: Bacteria
Also listed under: 1 other name
Description: bacterial SSU rRNA
Rfam family: Bacterial small subunit ribosomal RNA
Source: RNAcentral